Molecule: unclassified non-coding RNA, 253 nt
Filed under: uncultured Hymenobacteraceae bacterium
Lineage: Bacteria; Pseudomonadati; Bacteroidota; Cytophagia; Cytophagales; Hymenobacteraceae
Description: contains 16S-23S intergenic spacer region
Rfam family: Bacterial small subunit ribosomal RNA
Source: RNAcentral
UGCGAAGGGGGCUAGCGUUGUUCGGAUUUACUGGGCGUAAAGCGCACGUAGGCGGACCCUUAAGUCAGGGGUGAAAGCCAACGGCUCAACUGUUGAACUACCAUUGGUACUGGUGGGCUUGAGUGAAGUCGAGGCGGGCGGAACUGGUGGUGUAGCGGUGAAAUGCAUAGAUACCACCAAGAACCCCGAUUGCGUAGGCAGCUCGCUAGGCUUUAACUGACGCUGAGGCACGAAAGCGUGGGGAGCGAACAGG